Molecule: ribosomal RNA, 253 nt
Filed under: uncultured bacterium
Lineage: Bacteria
Description: partial 16S ribosomal RNA
Rfam family: Bacterial small subunit ribosomal RNA
Source: RNAcentral
UACGUAGGGUGCAAGCGUUGUCCGGAAUUAUUGGGCGUAAAGAGCUCGUAGGCGGUCUGUCGCGUCUGCUGUGAAAACUCGGGGCUUAACCCCGGGCCUGCAGUGGGUACGGGCAGACUAGAGUGCGGUAGGGGAGACUGGAAUUCCUGGUGUAGCGGUGAAAUGCGCAGAUAUCAGGAGGAACACCAACGGCGAAGGCAGCUCGCUGGGACGGUACUGACGCUGAGGCGCGAAAGCGUGGGGAGCGAACAGG